AAUCACUCCUUUCUAAUCCUCUGCUGUACGUUCAAACCUGAGGCCUGAAAUAGAAACACACAAGUAUGUGAUUGAAGGAACUUCUGCAGAGUCCUGGUUCCAGAACAUGAUGAUAGAAUUAUAGACAAACUUUAACAAAAGCUGCCUGAGAGUUUACAGGUUUUUAUGUUAGAUUUCUUCAGUAAUUUAAUGAGAGUUAUCAGCAAAAAUCAAGUGUUCAUUUGAUGAACUUCAUUUCCUAAAACAUCCAGAAUUGGAGCUCAUAUCUUUGACAGCUGUAAAGUUUCUGCUCCUUCAAAGUUCACAACACAAUGAAUGAAUUCCUAAAACACUCUCAGUGCUGGAGAGCGUUUGUGAUGCUGAAGCAGUGACCAGUUUUUCUGUUUCUUUUCUGGAGAUGCACAAUGAGGGACGUCUGCAGCGACUGAGAAAGAAUCUCACCACAUCCUGACAUGAGGAAAAAGACUUUAUUGAAGACUACAAUGAGGAAAAACUAUCAGACAGCAGACGGCUGCAUUCAAGAGAGGAAGACCAUCAAACAUCCGCGUCAGCUGUUGGAGGUCCAAGAGUCUCACCCAACAAACAACCUACAGAGUGAAGACCUCGAAUCUGAUUGGACGGCCUCCUAUUCAGCCACGUGUGAACAAAUGCCUCUAAGCUGAUUUGUUUUCUAAAAUAAAUCUAGUUUGAGUCCUAA
Long non-coding RNA from Amphiprion ocellaris (clown anemonefish), 697 nucleotides. RefSeq lists it as uncharacterized. NCBI's taxonomy places the organism in Eukaryota, Metazoa, Chordata, Actinopteri, Pomacentridae. The record is from RefSeq and is a predicted model, not a curated record. The transcript has 2 exons.